Long non-coding RNA from Corythoichthys intestinalis (scribbled pipefish), 354 nucleotides. RefSeq lists it as uncharacterized. The record is from RefSeq and is a predicted model, not a curated record. The transcript has 3 exons. Lineage: Eukaryota; Metazoa; Chordata; Actinopteri; Syngnathiformes; Syngnathidae.
AUUAAAUGGUGUCAACAACAUCCUCCGAGGUCACGGCAGAGUCCCCCCGCGGUGAGUGCGAGCUGGCAGGAAUCUACACCGCUGUGUGAUGGCUCUGUGGCAGUUUUGACACAGACUGUAAUCUGUGCUGGACUUUGGCUCUGAUUACACAUGUCUGAGGGAGGAAAACAAGGACUGCCAGCACUGGGCUCAUUCCAGGCUUUUCAGCAUUCAAGAGGACUCAAGUCGGCCUAGAAGGCUUACUCACCAACCGGCGAAUAAGUGUUUGUCCUCUCCAGACUCCAGACUUUUGUGAAACAUGUCAGGAGCUGCUUGGUAAGUUUUGUUUUCUUAUCUUGGCUAAAUAUGCCAUGC